GUUGGGUUUACUGAGAAGUAAAAAAAGUAAUCACAUUUUUUCUAGCGGUUAGUUAAGAAAUCAUUCAUGCAGGUUUAUUAGAUUUGUUUUACAUUUAUCGAACAGUGGGUAAAAUGGAACAGCCACACACACGGUAUACCCAUCAUCGCUUCAGUUUUUUAAUGAUCGUAUUUGUCCUAUUAGAAUCGAAAUAAUUCAUGGAAGC
RNAcentral lists this long non-coding RNA (205 nucleotides) under Mytilus galloprovincialis (Mediterranean mussel). The record is from RNAcentral. Lineage: Eukaryota; Metazoa; Mollusca; Bivalvia; Mytilida; Mytilidae.